Molecule: ribosomal RNA, 373 nt
Filed under: uncultured bacterium
Lineage: Bacteria
Description: bacterial SSU rRNA
Rfam family: Bacterial small subunit ribosomal RNA
Source: RNAcentral
UAAUACGGAGGGUGCAAGCGUUGUCCGGAUUUAUUGGGUUUAAAGGGUGCGUAGGCGGAUUGGUAAGUCAGUGGUGAAAGUUUGCAGCUCAACUGUAAAAUUGCCAUUGAUACUGUCAGUCUUGAGUGCAGUCGAGGUGGUUGGAAUGCGUAGUGUAGCGGUGAAAUGCUUAGAUAUUACGCAGAACACCAAUAGCGAAGGCAGAUCGCCAGGCUGUAACUGACGCUGAGGCACGAAAGUGUGGGGAUCGAACAGGAUUAGAUACCCUGGUAGUCCACACUGUAAACGAUGGUUACUAGUUGUUCGCCUGUAGAGGUGAGUGACUAAGCGAAAGCGAUAAGUAACCCACCUGGGGAGUACGUUCGCAAGGAUG